RNAcentral lists this ribosomal RNA (497 nucleotides) under uncultured bacterium. Its description in RNAcentral is "partial 16S ribosomal RNA". It matches the Rfam family "Bacterial small subunit ribosomal RNA", at positions 28 to 507 of the family's 1533-position model. The record is from RNAcentral.
GAUGAACGCUGGCGGCGUGCCUAAUACAUGCAAGUCGAGCGAACAGAUGAGGAGCUUGCUCCUCUGACGUUAGCGGCGGACGGGUGAGUAACACGUGGAUAACCUACCUAUAAGACUGGGAUAACUUCGGGAAACCGGAGCUAAUACCGGAUAAUAUAUUGAACCGCAUGGUUCAAUAGUGAAAGACGGUUUUGCUGUCACUUAUAGAUGGAUCCGCGCCGCAUUAGCUAGUUGGUAAGGUAACGGCUUACCAAGGCAACGAUGCGUAGCCGACCUGAGAAGGUGAUCGGCCACACUGGAACUGAGACACGGUCCAGACUCCUACGGGAGGCAGCAGUAGGGAAUCUUCCGCAAUGGGCGAAAGCCUGACGGAGCAACGCCGCGUGAGUGAUGAAGGUCUUCGGAUCGUAGAACUCUGUUAUUAGGGAAGAACAAAUGUGUAAGUAACUAUGCACGUCUUGACGGUACCUAAUCAGAAAGCCACGGCUAACUACGUG